CCUACGGGUGGCAGCAGUGGGGAAUAUUGCGCAAUGGGCGAAAGCCUGACGCAGCGACGCCGCGUGAGGGAUGAAGGUCUUCGGAUCGUAAACCUCUGUCAGCAGGGAAGAACGGUCACUGUGCUAAUCAGCAGUGAAUUGACGGUACCUGCAAAGGAAGCACCGGCUAACUCCGUGCCAGCAGCCGCGGUAAUACGGAGGGUGCGAGCGUUAAUCGGAAUUACUGGGCGUAAAGCGCUCGUAGGCGGUAUGUCAAGUCAAGGGUGAAAUCCCCGCGCUCAACGUGGGGACUGCCUUUGAAACUGGAGGACGGGAGUGUGUGAGAGGAAGGUGGAAUUCCAGGUGUAGGAGUGAAAUCCGUAGAUAUCAGGAGGAACAUCAGUGGCGAAGGCGACUAGCUGGCACACGACUGACGUUGAGGAGCGAAAGCGUGGGUAGCGAACAGGAUGAGAUACCCUUGUAGUC
This 465-nucleotide ribosomal RNA is filed under the name uncultured bacterium. Its description in RNAcentral is "partial 16S ribosomal RNA". It matches the Rfam family "Bacterial small subunit ribosomal RNA", at positions 338 to 795 of the family's 1533-position model. The record is from RNAcentral.